This is a long non-coding RNA of Acanthopagrus latus (yellowfin seabream), 609 nucleotides long. RefSeq lists it as uncharacterized. The record is from RefSeq and is a predicted model, not a curated record. The transcript has 3 exons. NCBI's taxonomy places the organism in Eukaryota, Metazoa, Chordata, Actinopteri, Spariformes, Sparidae.
CUUGAACAGUUGAAACUGGCUAAGCAUCCAGGAUGUGUCCAAGAAGUGGGUCUGACAGUAUCUUCACAUGUCUCUUUGUGAAAUCUACCAGAUAUCAUGAUGAAAACUUCAUACUGCAAAGGAUCAUCAUCAUUCUUCUGUGUGAAGAAGUACAGAAUGUAGUCUUUGUUUCACUCCAUCAGGUGGAAUCAAAAUCAAAUGAAUGCUUUCCAACAUCGCCAUCCUGUGGCAGAGCAUUAGACCUGACACCAGACAUAUUUGUUCCCCAUCACUUUGAUACUUGCUGGAGCGACCCAGGAAGACAGCUGUAUGCCUUUGGCGCAAAACAAUACUUAAUGCUGCAAAUACCUAAACUAGUUCCCCAUUCACUUUUGGAGUUUCCAAUAUUUGAUGAUCCCCAUGUAGCAAAAUUGUUGCGGCCCAGAUCUGGCCUACGACAAAUACAAUGGACCCACAUACAGCACAUGGGAAUAUGGUUCUUGUGAAGGUAUUAGGUGUGGGCCAGACAAUUAUUUCCUUCUCUGUGUUGAAUUAUGUUUCUGACUGUUGUAUGUCAGCAUCUCUUCCGACUGAUCAUUCUAUUAUUAAGUUGACUUGUAAUCCCCCUGG